GAUGAACGCUGGCGGCGUGCUUAACACAUGCAAGUCGAACGAUGAAGCCCAGCUUGCUGGGUGGAUUAGUGGCGAACGGGUGAGUAACACGUGAGUAACCUUCCCUUAACUCUGGGAUAAGCCUGGGAAACUGGGUCUAAUACCGGAUAGUAUCGUCCACCGCAUGUUGGGUGUUGGAAAGAUUUAUCGGUUUUGGAUGGACUCGCGGCCUAUCAGCUUGUUGGUGAGGUAAUGGCUCACCAAGGCGACGACGGGUAGCCGGCCUGAGAGGGUGACCGGCCACACUGGGACUGAGACACGGCCCAGACUCCUACGGGAGGCAGCAGUGGGGAAUAUUGCACAAUGGGCGCAAGCCUGAUGCAGCGACGCCGCGUGAGGGAUGACGGCCUUCGGGUUGUAAACCUCUUUCAGUAGGGAAGAAGCGAAAGUGACGGUACCUGCAGAAGAAGCACCGGCUAACUACGUG
Molecule: ribosomal RNA, 466 nt
Filed under: uncultured bacterium
Lineage: Bacteria
Description: partial 16S ribosomal RNA
Rfam family: Bacterial small subunit ribosomal RNA
Source: RNAcentral